This 253-nucleotide ribosomal RNA is filed under the name uncultured bacterium. Its description in RNAcentral is "partial 16S ribosomal RNA". It matches the Rfam family "Bacterial small subunit ribosomal RNA", at positions 524 to 776 of the family's 1533-position model. The record is from RNAcentral.
UACAGAGGUCCCAAGCGUUGUUCGGAUUCACUGGGCGUAAAGGGUGCGUAGGCGGUCUUGUAAGUCUGAUGUGAAAGCUCGGAGCUCAACUCCGAAAUGGCAUUGGAUACUAUAGGGCUAGAGGGUUGGAGGGGGGACUGGAAUUCUCGGUGUAGCAGUGAAAUGCGUAGAUAUCGAGAGGAACACCAGUGGCGAAGGCGAGUCCCUGGACAACCCCUGACGCUGAGGCACGAAAGCUAGGGGAGCAAACAGG